CUUACCGCGUCGCGGUCCUCCUGCUCCUGCAGCUGCCGAGCGAUGUAGCUGAUGGAGGAAACGGCCUCCCGUAGCUCGGGAGGCAGGCCCACAGCCCGGGUUGGACCAUCGGAUCCGCUGGAGGCUGGAUUAGCCGAGAAGGCUUGUGGAUAAUUUCCCAUUGGCCAUUCUCUGGGAGGAAGGAGACGGGAGGAGAGAAGAAAGGGACACACAUGUGGAACCUGUCCUUAUUGCUGCCAGAUAUGGCUUGCCCUGCCACAUCCUAGACCUGAGAGUGGCUGAUGUGAUAAGGCACUAGCUGUGAACACUGGGCUGGGCAGCCCAUCUCUGAUGAACGAGUCUCCACUUCCAUAUCUGCGAAAUGUAGAGAAUCCCACUUACCUUCCCGACCCCACAGGUUGUACUGGGCAUUGCUGAAGGAGGCGGGUAUUUAUCAGCCUGUUAGAAACCGCGGAAACCAUAAAGCCCAGGGACAUGGGAGCCAUGCCCACUCACCAA
This is a long non-coding RNA of Callorhinus ursinus (northern fur seal), 498 nucleotides long. RefSeq lists it as uncharacterized. Lineage: Eukaryota; Metazoa; Chordata; Mammalia; Carnivora; Otariidae. The record is from RefSeq and is a predicted model, not a curated record.